AUUGAACGCUGGCGGCAUGCCUUACACAUGCAAGUCGAACGGCAGCACGGACUUCGGUCUGGUGGCGAGUGGCGAACGGGUGAGUAAUAUAUCGGAACAUACCUUGUAGUGGGGGAUAACUAUCCGAAAGGAUAGCUAAUACCGCAUACGCUCUAAGGAGGAAAGCGGGGGAUCGUAAGACCUCGUGCUAUAAGAGUGGCCGAUAUCUGAUUAGCUAGUUGGUGAGGUAAAGGCUCACCAAGGCGACGAUCAGUAGCUGGUCUGAGAGGACGACCAGCCAACCGGGAACUGAGACACGGUCCAGACUCCUACGGGAGGCAGCAGUGGGGAAUUUUGGACAAUGGGGGCAACCCUGAUCCAGCAAUGCCGCGUGAGUGAAGAAGGCCUUCGGGUUGUAAAGCUCUUUUGUCAGGGAAGAAACGGUUGUGGCUAAUAUCCAUGGCUAAUGACGGUACCUGAAGAAUAAGCACCGGCUAACUACGUGCCAGCAGCCGCCGUAA
Molecule: ribosomal RNA, 500 nt
Filed under: uncultured bacterium
Lineage: Bacteria
Description: partial 16S ribosomal RNA
Rfam family: Bacterial small subunit ribosomal RNA
Source: RNAcentral